CUGAAAACAAAGCUCAUGAAGGCUUAGACGAAGUUCACAGAUCAAAGACCCCAAGGAAGAGGCUGGACUAAUCUUUGAAGAAGGCAAUGCCUGAGAGUGAGAAACAUCUAGAAGUGUAGGGCAGUGAGGCCCCACAGGGAGGUUCCUCUCAGCUCAGUAGUGCCCACCGGAACAAAGACAGCCUUUGUCCUCGAAACCCCAAAAAGGAGUUAAUAUCAGUAAAGGAGGCAGAUUUCUCACAAUGGUCUACCUGGAAGAGCUCUACCCUAUCAACUUCUACAUCUUUGGGAUGGAGAAGCCGAACAUCAGAGAACUUAUUGUCUAUAUUUAUACACUCAGAGAGAGAAAUGGGAUUAAAAAUCUGGAGGGAACAGAAUGAGAGAAAGAUGCAAAUGAAGAAAUAAAAUAAACAGAAGUGCCUGUUUUGUUUUCAA
Long non-coding RNA from Talpa occidentalis (Iberian mole), 434 nucleotides. RefSeq lists it as uncharacterized. NCBI's taxonomy places the organism in Eukaryota, Metazoa, Chordata, Mammalia, Eulipotyphla, Talpidae. The record is from RefSeq and is a predicted model, not a curated record. The transcript has 3 exons.